Molecule: ribosomal RNA, 1395 nt
Filed under: uncultured bacterium
Lineage: Bacteria
Description: bacterial SSU rRNA
Rfam family: Bacterial small subunit ribosomal RNA
Source: RNAcentral
AGAGUUUGAUCCUGGCUCAAGAUGAACGCUAGCGGCAGGCUUAACACAUGCAAGUCGAGGGGCAGCAUGUCCAGCAAUGGAUGAUGGCGACCGGCGGAAGGGUGCGUAACGCGUGAGCAACAUGCCCUAUACAGGGAGAUACACCAGGGAAACUUGGUCUAAUAUCCCAUAGCAUUCAUUGAAGGCAUCUUUAAUGAAUUAAAGCUUCGGUGGUAUAGGAUUGGCUCGCGUGACAUUAGCCAGAUGGUGAGGUAACGGCUCACCAUAGCAAUGAUGUCUAGGGGUUUUGAGAGGAAGGCCCUCCACACUGGGACUGAGACACGGCCCAGACUCCUACGGGAGGCAGCAGUGAGGAAUAUUGGAUAAUGGAUGGAAAUCUGAUCCAGCCAUGCCGCGUGCAGGAAGACGGCCUUAUGGGUUGUAAACUGCUUUUAUACGGGAGCAAUAAGGGUUACGAGUAAUCCGAUGAGAGUACUGUAUGAAUAAGGAUCGGCUAACUCCGUGCCAGCAGCCGCGGUAAUACGGAGGAUCCGAGCGUUAUCCGGAAUUAUUGGGUUUAAAGGGUGCGUAGGCGGCCAUUUAAGUCAGCGGUGAAAUUUUGCAGCUUAACUGUAACAGUGCCGUUGAUACUGUUUGGCUAGGAUUUGGUUGUAGUGUGCGGAAUGUGUGGUGUAGCGGUGAAAUGCUUAGAUAUCACACAGAACACCGAUUGCGAAGGCAGCACACUAAGUCAUUAUUGACGCUGAGGCACGAAAGUGUGGGGAGCAAACAGGAUUAGAUACCCUGGUAGUCCACACUGUAAACGAUGAGCUCUUGGUGUCCGGGAAGCAAUUUUUCGGUGCCGCAGGCUAACGCAUUAACUGCUCCGCCUGGGGAGCGCGUACGUAAGUAUUAAACUCAAAGGACUUGACGGGGGCCCGCACAAGCGGCGGAGCAUGUGGUUUAAUUACAUGCAACGCGCAGAACCUUAUCUGGUCCUGACAUGCAAAGAAUCCUGAUGUAUCUCGCGAGUGCCUUUGGGAGCUCUGAGACAGCCGGUGCAUGGUCGUCGUCAGCUCGUGUCGCUGAGAUGUUCGGUUAAGUCCGGCAACGAGCGCAACCCUCGUGGCCACUUGCCAUCAUUUAGUUGGGCACUUUGGCCAGACUGCCGUCGACAAAACGGAGGAAGGUGGGGAUGACGUCAAAUCAUCACCCCUCUUAUGUCCUGGGCUACACACGUACUACAAUGGGCGCUACAACGGGCAGCCUCACCGCGAGGUGGAGCGAAUCCCCAAAGGCGUCCCCAGUUCGGAUUGCAGGCUGAAACUCGCCCGUAUGAAGUCGGAAUUGCUAGUAAUCGCGGAUCAGAAUGCCGCGGUGAAUACGUUCCCGGCCCUGUACUCACCGCCCGUCAAG